RNAcentral lists this ribosomal RNA (253 nucleotides) under uncultured bacterium. RNAcentral's name for it is "partial 16S ribosomal RNA". It matches the Rfam family "Bacterial small subunit ribosomal RNA", at positions 524 to 776 of the family's 1533-position model. The record is from RNAcentral.
UGCGAAGGGGACUAGCGUUGUUCGGAAUUACUGGGCGUAAAGCGCACGUAGGCGGCUUUGUAAGUCAGGGGUGAAAUCCCGGGGCUCAACCUCGGAACUGCCUUUGAUACUGCAAAUCUCGAGUCCGAUAGAGGUGGGUGGAAUUCCUAGUGUAGAGGUGAAAUUCGUAGAUAUUAGGAAGAACACCGGUGGCGAAGGCGGCCCACUGGAUCGGUACUGACGCUGAGGUGCGAAAGCGUGGGGAGCAAACAGG